AAGGAAUAUUGGACAAUGGAGGCAACUCUGAUCCAGCCAUGCCGCGUGAAGGAAUAAGGCCCUAUGGGUUGUAAACUUCUUUUAGACGGGACAAAACCCCUUUACGUGUAAAGGGUUGAUGGUACUGUCAGAAUAAGCAUCGGCUAACUUCGUGCCAGCAGCCGCGGUAAUACGAAGGAUGCAAGCGUUAUCCGGAAUUAUUGGGUUUAAAGGGUGCGUAGGCGGACUAAUAAGUCAGUGGUGAAAGCCUGCAGCUUAACUGCAGAAUUGCCAUUGAUACUGUUAGUAGUGAGUACAGUUGAGGUAGGCGGAAUGUGUCAUGUAGCGGUGAAAUGCUUAGAUAUGACACAGAACACCGAUUGCGAAGGCAGCUGGCUAAGCUGUAACUGACGCUGAGGCACGAAAGCGUGGGGAGCAAA
This 419-nucleotide ribosomal RNA is filed under the name uncultured bacterium. Its description in RNAcentral is "bacterial SSU rRNA". It matches the Rfam family "Bacterial small subunit ribosomal RNA", at positions 356 to 772 of the family's 1533-position model. The record is from RNAcentral.